UCUUUAAUCAGGCUCUAUAGGCUGUAAACUGGGAGAAUCUAAACGUGACGUCAAUGCCUAGUAACUGACGCAGCCCCUCAACAAAAAUUGGGAUUAAAACAUUUUUUUCCGUCAGAAUGCGACUUUAAUUAUUAGUUUUUGCACUGCUCUGUCGACUAUAAGCAACCCCACAAGGAACAUGUAUCCUUUUUAUCAGAAUGGACUUACAUGCUGUUUCGUGGUUAUUUCACCAACUACCAGCCAACCAUUGCAUUGUGAGUUCCUCAGCGAAAGUUGCAUGGAGACAAGAUAGCUGAGACGCCAAGAGAAGAUGAAGAAAGAGAUAUGUGAAAUAAAGCAUCAACACCGAUAAGGCUACAGGUCUACGAGCACCGAGAAAAAUAAUUGAGUGGGAGGAAAAGUAGCCUGUGUUUUGAAAUGGGCACUCAGUAAACCCAAAACACUGCAAUGAUGCAACGACGGGGAAUCGGGGCUCUUGUGCAGAGUUGGAGAGGCAAAAUGAAUGUACAUUACAUGCACUUCACGUAACGUUCCUGAGCGAUGCCUUUCAAGGGUUGCCUGCUAUGCUAAAGUCAUCGACGUAGUCUGUACCCCGGG
Long non-coding RNA from Osmerus eperlanus (European smelt), 597 nucleotides. RefSeq lists it as uncharacterized. NCBI's taxonomy places the organism in Eukaryota, Metazoa, Chordata, Actinopteri, Osmeriformes, Osmeridae. The transcript is spliced from 3 exons. The record is from RefSeq and is a predicted model, not a curated record.